AGUAAAAGUCGUAACAAGGUUUCCGUAGGUGAACCUGCGGAAGGAUCAUUAUUGAAUUCCACUUGGGUGAGAUUGCUGCUGGCCUUUGGGCAUGUGCGCAUCUCUCUCAUUUACCUCAUACCUCUGUGCACAUUUCACAGGACAGCUCGCGGCCUCUAGCUGCAGGCUGCUUCUGUGUAUUUUACAAACCUUUUUAUAACAGUUGAGAAUGUUUCUGUGUAUUUACACAAUGAAAUACAACUUUCAGCAACGGAUCUCUUGGCUCUCGCAUCGAUGAAGAACGCAGCGAAAUGCGAUAAGUAAUGCGAAUUGCAGAAUUCAGUGAACCAUCGAAUCUUUGAACGCAUCUUGCGCUCCUUGGUAUUCCGAGGAGCAUGCCUGUUUGAGUGUCAUGAUAUUCUCAAUUCCUUCAGCUUCUGCUGGAGUGACAUUGGACUUGGAGGCUGUUGCAGGAAUCCUUCUGGAUGCCAGCUCCUCUUAAUUGCAUUAGUGUGAAUGUCCACUUUAUGCUCAGUGUGAUAAUUAUCUGCACUGUGCUUGGGUGAUACAGCUUCAUGCUUCAAACUGUCGCAAGACAAUCUAUUGACUUCUGACCUCAAAUCAGGUAGGACUACCCGCUGAACUUAAGCAUAUCAAUAAGCGGAGGA
This 647-nucleotide ribosomal RNA is filed under the name uncultured fungus. RNAcentral describes it as "eukaryotic LSU rRNA". The stretch from base 239 to 392 matches the Rfam family "5.8S ribosomal RNA". The record is from RNAcentral. Lineage: Eukaryota; Fungi.